Molecule: unclassified non-coding RNA, 324 nt
Filed under: soil metagenome
Description: partial contains 5.8S ribosomal RNA, internal transcribed spacer 2, and large subunit ribosomal RNA
Rfam family: 5.8S ribosomal RNA (bases 1-120)
Source: RNAcentral
GAUGAAGAGCGUAGCGAAAUGCGAUAAGUAAUGCGAAUUGCAGAAUUCAGUGAGUCAUCGAAUCUUUGAACGCACAUUGCGCCCUGUGGUAUUCCGCAGGGCAUGCCUGUUCGAGCGUCAUUUCAACCCUCAAGCCUCGCUUGGUGUUGGGCCCUGCCCGCCGCGGCCGGCCCUAAAGAUAGUGGCGGCGCCGCCUGGCCCUCAGCGUAGUACAGCUCUCGCUCCAGGGUCCGGCGGCAGCCUGCCAGAACCCCCCAACUCUGUGGUUGACCUCGGAUCAGGUAGGGAUACCCGCUGAACUUAAGCAUAUCAAUAAGCGGAGGA